Molecule: ribosomal RNA, 80 nt
Filed under: Vibrio parahaemolyticus
Lineage: Bacteria; Pseudomonadati; Pseudomonadota; Gammaproteobacteria; Vibrionales; Vibrionaceae
Description: partial 16S ribosomal RNA
Source: RNAcentral
CUUAAAUUGAAGAGUUUGAUCAUGGCUCAGAUUGAACGCUGGCUGCAGUCCUAACACAUACAAGUCGAGCGGAAACUAGU